UUAAGAUACUAAGAGCAUACGGUGGAUGCCUUGGCGAUAUCUGCCGACGAAGGACGUGACAAGCUGCGAAAAGCUGCGGAGAGAUGCAAAUAAUCGGCGACCCGCAGACAUCCGAAUGGAGAAAUCCGGCUGUGAUGAUACACAGCCAUCCAUGCCCAAGAGCAUGAGAAGGGAACCGGGCGAACUGAAACAUCUAAGUAACCCGAGGAAAAGAAAUCAAACGAGAUACCCCAAGUAGCGGCGAGCGAACAGGGAAGAAGCCCAAACCGGUGAAGGAAACUUUACCGGGGUUGAGGACCAUCAGACCCGCGAAGAACCUUAGCCGAAACUGUUGGGAAACAGUGCCGAAGACAGUGAAAGCCUGGUAGGCGAAAAAGAGAAACGCGGAGAUGGCACCAGAGUACCGCGGGACACGAGAAAUCCCGUGGGAAGCAGGGGGGACCACCCUCCAAGGCAAAACACAGAUAUCGACCGAUAGCGCAUAGUACCAUGAGGGAAAGGUGAAAAGCACCCCGGGAGGGGAAUGAAAGAGAACCUGAAACCGUAUGUUUACAAGCAGUCGGAGACCGCUUAAUAAUAAGGUCGACGGCGUGCCUAUUGAAGAAUGAACCGGCGAGUUACGAAGCCUGGCAAGGUUAAGCAGGAAAUGCGGAGCCGAAGCGAAAGCGAGUCUUAAGAGGGCGCAAGUCAGGAAGCGUAGACCCGAAACCACAGUGAUCUACCCAUGUCCAGGUUGAAACACAGGUAAAAAUGUGUGGAGGACCGAACCUAUAUCCGUUGAAAAGGGUUAGGAUGAGGUGUGGGUAGGGGUGAAAUUCCAAUCGAACGUGGAGAUAGCUGGUUCUCCCCGAAAUAGCUUUAGGGCUAGCCUCAGGGAAAAGAUUGCAGGCGGUAGAGCACUGAUCAGGAGAGGGACCUACCCGGUUACCAAACCCAGUCAAACUCCGAAUGGCUGCAAUCAUACCUGGGAGUCAGACUGCGACUAAUAAGGGCCGCAGUCAAAAGGGAAACAGCCCAGACCAUCAGCUAAGGUCCCCAAUGCCGUGCUAAGUGGCGAAGGAUGUGGCAUUUCAUAAACAACCAGGAUGUUGGCUCAGAAGCAGCCACCAUUUAAAGAGUGCGUAAUAGCUCACUGGUCGAGAGACGCUGCGCCGAAAAUGUCCGGGGCUCAAGCACGGAACCGAAGCUAUGGCAUGAUAGCAAUAUCAUGGGUAGGGGAGCGUUCUUAUAAGGAAGAAGCAUGACCGGAAGGACAUGUGGACGAAUAAGAAGUGAGAAUGCCGGUAUGAGUAUCGAAAAGAAAGGUGAGAAUCCUUUCCACCGAAAGCCCGAGGGUUCCUGAGCAACGAUCGUCGACUCAGGGUAAGUCGGGACCUAAGCCGAGGCGAGAAGCGUAGGCGAUGGACAACAGGUUGAAAUUCCUGUACCGGAUCAAGUCGAUCGAGCGAAGGAGCGACGCAGGAGGGCACAUGAUCGCGCGGCUGGAAGAGCGCGUCCAAGUGCGUAUGUUGCAGCAGAGGAAAACCCCUGCAGCUAAAAGCAGAGACAUGAUGGGGAGUUAAAGGAAACUUUGACGAACUCAUGGAUCCCACACUGCCAAGAAAAACUUCUAGCGAGACAAGAUCCGCCCGUACCGUAAACCGACACAGGUAGGCGGGGAGAGAAUCCUAAGGUGCGCGGGAAAACCCUCGUUAAGGAACUCGGCAAAUUGCAUCCGUAACCUAGGGAGAAGGAUGGCCCCCUGUCAGUGAAGAGCAGAAACGCUCAGAGCUAAAAGGGGCGGCAGAAAAGAGGCCCAAGCAACUGUUUACCAAAAACACAGGUGCCUGCGAAAGCGAAAGCUGAAGUAUAGGUGCUGACGCCUGCCCGGUGCCGGAAGGUUAAGGAGAGAAGUUAGCGAAAGCGAAGCAUCGAACUGAAGCCCCGGUGAACGGCGGCCGUAACUAUAACGGUCCUAAGGUAGCGAAAUUCCUUGUCGGGUAAGUUCCGACCCGCACGAA
This 2000-nucleotide ribosomal RNA is filed under the name human gut metagenome. RNAcentral's name for it is "bacterial LSU rRNA". It matches the Rfam family "Bacterial large subunit ribosomal RNA", at positions 1 to 1996 of the family's 2925-position model. The record is from RNAcentral.